CUUGCGUUUGAAGUCCAGCUCUGCUACCUCUUGCUGUGUGAUAGUGGACUACUUGCUUAAAGUCACCAAGUCUCAAUUUCCUCAACUAAGCUACCUGCGUCAAGCAAAGCUGUAUUCAGUGAUUUCUCCUGAGAUGACGCUCUGCUGGCAACUCACCAUCGACAACACAAAUGUGACAAGAAGUCAUCUAACAACUUGAAACUAUAAACAAGAAGAAAAUAUACCCAUGAAGCUUAAGCAAAGAAGAUGUCCAGGCAAAAAAGGAAGUUACUUUGCUGGCUGGAGUUAUUGAUUCUAACUAUCCAGGGAAAAUAGGACUGCAACUCCACAACAGAGAUAAGAAAGACUAUGUCUGGAAUACAGGAAAUCCCUGCCAUUUGAUUAAAGUCAGUGGAAAUUUACAACAACUCAAUUCAGGCAGGACUACUAAUGGACCAGAUCCUUCAGAAGUCGACAGAAGUCGACAUUUGGAUCACUGCAACAGGAAAAGAACCAUGACCAGCUACCAGCUACAGGCAAAGGAAGUACAGGAUAGAGAGUGAAAGGAAGUAGUUGUAAAUCCAUCUAUGACCACAUGACCAGUAACAGAAAUGAGGUCUCUGUCAAGUGUUACUUCCUUAUUUUGUUAUGAAUAUGUAUGUGUAUGUGUAUAGAA
Symphalangus syndactylus (siamang) is the source of this 655-nucleotide long non-coding RNA. RefSeq lists it as uncharacterized. The record is from RefSeq and is a predicted model, not a curated record. NCBI's taxonomy places the organism in Eukaryota, Metazoa, Chordata, Mammalia, Primates, Hylobatidae.